This 429-nucleotide ribosomal RNA is filed under the name Bacillota bacterium. RNAcentral describes it as "Firmicutes bacterium partial 16S ribosomal RNA". It matches the Rfam family "Bacterial small subunit ribosomal RNA", at positions 355 to 776 of the family's 1533-position model. The record is from RNAcentral. Lineage: Bacteria; Bacillati; Bacillota.
UGGGGAAUUUUGGACAAUGGGGGCAACCCUGAUCCAGCAAUGCCGCGUGUGUGAAGAAGGCCUUCGGGUUGUAAAGCACUUUUGUCCGGGAAGAAAUCGCACCUGAUAAUACCGGGUGUGGAUGACGGUACCGGAAGAAUAAGGACCGGCUAACUACGUGCCAGCAGCCGCGGUAAUACGUAGGGUCCAAGCGUUAAUCGGAAUUACUGGGCGUAAAGCGUGCGCAGGCGGUUGUGCAAGACCGAUGUGAAAUCCCCGGGCUUAACCUGGGAAUUGCAUUGGUGACUGCACGGCUAGAGUGUGUCAGAGGGGGGUAGAAUUCCACGUGUAGCAGUGAAAUGCGUAGGGAUGUGGAGGAAUACCGAUGGCGAAGGCAGCCCCCUGGGAUAACACUGACGCUCAUGCACGAAAGCGUGGGGAGCAAACAGG